This 253-nucleotide ribosomal RNA is filed under the name uncultured bacterium. Its description in RNAcentral is "partial 16S ribosomal RNA". It matches the Rfam family "Bacterial small subunit ribosomal RNA", at positions 524 to 776 of the family's 1533-position model. The record is from RNAcentral.
GACGGAGGGUGCUAGCGUUGUUCGGAAUUACUGGGCGUAAAGGGCUCGUAGGCGGCCAACUAAGUCAUACGUGAAAUCCCUCAGCUUAACUGGGGAACUGCGUGUGAUACUGGAUGGCUUGGAUUUGGGAGAGGGAUGCGGAAUUCCAGGUGUAGCGGUGAAAUGCGUAGAUAUCUGGAGGAACACCGGUGGCGAAGGCGGCAUCCUGGACCAAUAUUGACGCUGAGGAGCGAAAGCCAGGGGAGCAAACGGG